AUAUUGUGGUGGUAUAACAGGAAGAAUAUCAUGGAGUGAUGCUGCUAAAUUUGGACUUGGAGCUAUGUUGCAACAACUGGGAUUGCUACAUCGUUGGUAGAGAGAAGUGGGAGGCUUCUUCCACCGUUCAUUCGCGUUUUUCUUCUCCAGCGAACCGGUGACGACAACAACAUGUGCGAGGAUGAAAUAAGGUGCUAUGCAGCGGCGGCAACCACAUUCUCUACUCAGCGGCAAUUUCAUUCAUGGAACUCUAGAUUGAAAGUCAGUGUGAAAAAUAAUCAUGGAACACAAACUCAUAAAUUAUGCAUUUAUCACUAAAGCGCCAUCCAUUCCUCUUCGCAUGCCAUCUGUCGGUUGUGUUUAUUAUAAAGUGUAAUGUAAAUGUUAGAAGAAUCUAAAAAUCUUAAGAAAAAAAAUAUUGAAAUGUAAUGAAAAUUUUAAAAUAUUGUAA
Vigna unguiculata (cowpea) is the source of this 451-nucleotide long non-coding RNA. The record is from RefSeq and is a predicted model, not a curated record. NCBI's taxonomy places the organism in Eukaryota, Viridiplantae, Streptophyta, Magnoliopsida, Fabales, Fabaceae.